RNAcentral lists this ribosomal RNA (555 nucleotides) under uncultured bacterium. RNAcentral's name for it is "bacterial SSU rRNA". It matches the Rfam family "Bacterial small subunit ribosomal RNA", at positions 338 to 905 of the family's 1533-position model. The record is from RNAcentral.
UCUACGGGAGGCAGCAGUGGGGAAUUUUCCGCAAUGGGCGAAAGCCUGACGGAGCAAUACCGCGUGAGGGAGGAAGGCUCUUGGGUUGUAAACCUCUUUUCUCAGGGAAGAAGCUCUGACGGUACCUGAGGAAUCAGCAUCGGCUAACUCCGUGCCAGCAGCCGCGGUAAUACGGAGGAUGCAAGCGUUAUCCGGAAUGAUUGGGCGUACAGCGCGCGCAGGCGGUCGCGUAUGUGACCGGUGACAUCCUCGGGCUCAACUCGAGGCGGCCCGGUUACACAGCGCGGCUGGAGGCAGGGAGAGGGACGUGGAAUACCCGGUGGAGCGGUGAAAUGCGUAGAGAUCGGGUGGAACACCAGUGGCGAAGGCGGCGUCCUGGCCCUGGCCUGACGCUGAGGCGCGAGAGCGUGGGGAGCAAACGGGAUUAGAUACCCCGGUAGUCCACGCCGUAAACGAUGUGGAGCCGGUGUCGGGGGGUGAUUGCGCCCGUCGGUGCCUAAGCUUACGCGAUGACUCCACCGCCUGGGAACUACGGCCGCAAGGCUAAAACUCAAA